Molecule: ribosomal RNA, 462 nt
Filed under: uncultured bacterium
Lineage: Bacteria
Description: bacterial SSU rRNA
Rfam family: Bacterial small subunit ribosomal RNA
Source: RNAcentral
CAGUAGUCACGAGUUUGAUCAUGGCUCAGAUUGAACGCUGGCGGCAUGCCUAACACAUGCAAGUCGAACGAGACCUUCGGGUCUAGUGGCGCACGGGUGCGUAACGCGUGGGAACCUGCCUUUAGGUUCGGAAUAACUCAGAGAAAUUUGAGCUAAUACCGGAUAAUGUCUUCGGACCAAAGAUUUAUCGCCUUUAGAUGGGCCCGCGUUGGAUUAGCUAGUUGGUGGGUAAAGGCCUACCAAGGCGACGAUCCAUAGCUGGUCUGAGAGGAUGAUCAGCCACACUGGGACUGAGACACGGCCCAGACUCCUACGGGAGGCAGCAGUGGGGAAUAUUGGGACAAUGGGCGAAAGCCUGAUCCAGCAAUGCCGCGUGAGUGAUGAAGGCCUUAGGGUUGUAAAGCUCUUUUACCCGAGAUGAUAAUGACAGUAUCGGGAGAAUAAGCUCCGGCUAACUCCGUG